GACGAACGCUGGCGGCGUGCUCAACACAUGCAAGUCGAACGGAAAGGCCCUGCUUUUGUGGGGUGCUCGAGUGGCGAACGGGUGAGUAACACGUGAGUAACCUGCCCUUGACUUUGGGAUAACUUCAGGAAACUGGGGCUAAUACCGGAUAGGAGCUCCUGCUGCAUGGUGGGGGUUGGAAAGUUUCGGCGGUUGGGGAUGGACUCGCGGCUUAUCAGCUUGUUGGUGGGGUAGUGGCUUACCAAGGCUUUGACGGGUAGCCGGCCUGAGAGGGUGACCGGCGACAUUGGGACUGAGAUACGGCCCAGACUCCUACGGGAGGCAGCAGUGGGGAAUAUUGCACAAUGGGCGGAAGCCUGAUGCAGCAACGCCGCGUGCGGGAUGAUGGCCUUCGGGUUGUAAACCGCUUUCGCCUGUGACGAAGCGUGAGUGACGGUAAUGGGUAAAGAAGCACCGGCUAACUACGUG
RNAcentral lists this ribosomal RNA (468 nucleotides) under uncultured bacterium. RNAcentral's name for it is "partial 16S ribosomal RNA". It matches the Rfam family "Bacterial small subunit ribosomal RNA", at positions 28 to 507 of the family's 1533-position model. The record is from RNAcentral.